AAAACCUAGCGAGCAGGAGGCGAGAGAAAAAGACCUGCCCCAAAAGAUGAAGGAGGGGAAAAAAAAAAAAACUAGCGAGCAGGAAGCGAGAGAAAAAGGCCCUGCGGGGAAAGAUCGAGGGGGGAAAAAAAACCCAAAACCUAGCGAGCAGGAGCGAGAGAAAAAGACCUGCCGAGAAAGAUGGGAGGGGGAAAAAAAAAAAACUAGCGAGCAGGAACGAGAGAAAAAGACCUGCGGGGAAAGAUCGAGGGGGGAAAAAAAACCCAAAACCUAGCGAGCAGGAGCGAGGGAAAAACCUGCGGAGAAAGAGCGAAGGGGAAAAAAUAAAUAAAUAGCGAAACGGGGCAAAACCUGCCGAGAAGGAGCGAGAGGAGAAAACCUAGCGAGAUGGAGCCAGGGGGAAAAAACCUGCCGAGAAGGAGCCAGGAGAAAAGGGCGGGCGAGCCAGACGGCUAAAUGGGGAAAGCGCGCGAGGAAGUGGUGGGGAUAAAAAGGACACAGAUUGAGAUAGAGCGGGAGAAAAAGCUAGGGGAUAGCGGUCAAAAUAGAAGAACGACGGGGAAAGAGCGAUGAUGAAAAUGAAGGAAAAAAUGUGCAAAAAAAACGAGGGAGAAAGAACAAGGGGGAAAAGACGAGGAAAAGAGCGCGGGCGCCGCCAUCCGCCGCUCGGCUCCUCGCCCCGGCUU
Molecule: long non-coding RNA, 686 nt
Filed under: Rattus norvegicus (Norway rat)
Lineage: Eukaryota; Metazoa; Chordata; Mammalia; Rodentia; Muridae
Description: long non-coding RNA NONRATT020028
Source: RNAcentral